RNAcentral lists this ribosomal RNA (119 nucleotides) under Neodiprion lecontei (redheaded pine sawfly). Lineage: Eukaryota; Metazoa; Arthropoda; Insecta; Hymenoptera; Diprionidae. The record is from RNAcentral.
GGCAACGGCCAUACCACGUUGAAAGCACCGGUUCUCGUCCGAUCACCGAAGUCAAGCAACAUUGGGCGCGGUCAGUACUUGGAUGGGUGACCGCUUGGGAACACCGCGUGCCGUUGGCA